This 638-nucleotide ribosomal RNA is filed under the name Leiuranus semicinctus (saddled snake-eel). Its description in RNAcentral is "partial 12S ribosomal RNA subunit". It matches the Rfam family "Bacterial small subunit ribosomal RNA", at positions 488 to 1407 of the family's 1533-position model. The record is from RNAcentral. Lineage: Eukaryota; Metazoa; Chordata; Actinopteri; Anguilliformes; Ophichthidae.
UGGGUUGGUAAAUCUCGUGCCAGCCACCGCGGUUAGACGGGAGGCCCAAACUGACACCCUGCGGCGUAAAGCGUGAUUAGGGUCAUAAAAAACUAAAGCCGAACAGCUCCCCAACUGUUAUACGUUUAGAGAGACAUGAAGCCCAACAACGAAAGUGGCUUUAACUAAACAUCCUGAAUUCACGAAAAUUAAGAAACAAACUGGGAUUAGAUACCCCACUAUGCUUAACCGUAAACAAUGAUGGGAACUCACAAAUACCAUCCGCCAGGGAAUUACGAACACUAGUUUAAAACCCAAAGGACUUGACGGUGCUUCAAACCCACCUAGAGGAGCCUGUCCUAUAACCGAUAAUCCCCGUUAAACCUCACCACUCCUUGCCAACCCAGUUUAUAUACCACCGUCGCCAGCUUACCCCAUGAGGGCACAAUAGUAAGCUAAAUGGGUCACCACCCAGUACGUCAGGUCAAGGUGUAGCCAACGGAGUGGGAAGAGAUGGGCUACAUUUUCUGAAACAGAAUACUACUGAAGGUGUAAUGAAACAAAACGCAAUUUGAAGGUGGAUUUAGCAGUAAAGAGAGAAUAGAGAGCUCUCCUGAAACUGGCUCUGAAGCGCGUACACACCGCCCGUCACCCUCCUA